AUAGAGUACCUUACUCACUACCCUUUGUGAACUAUUAUACCUGUUGCCUCGGCGGCGCCCCCUGUGGGCGCCCGCCGGUCUACUAGAAUCUCUGUUUUCGAACCCGACGAUACUUCUGAGUGUUCUUAGCGAACUGUCAAAACUUUUAACAACGGAUCUCUUGGCUCCAGCAUCGAUGAAGAACGCAGCGAAACGCGAUAUGUAAUGUGAAUUGCAGAAUUCAGUGAAUCAUCGAAUCUUUGAACGCACAUGGCGCCUUCCAGUAUCCUGGGAGGCAUGCCUGUCCGAGCGUCGUUUCAACCCUCGAGCCCUCGUGGCCCGGCGUUGGGGAUCUGCCACGGCAGGCCCCGAAAUACAGUGGCGGACCCGUUAGGCCCUUCCUUUGCGUAGUAGCAUUAGCCUCGCAUUGGGAGCCGACGGGCUCUCCUGCCUCUAAACCCCCCAACAAGCCCGCUCCGGCGGCACCAAGGUUGACCUCGGAUCAGGUAGGAAUACCCGCUGAACUUAAGCAUAUCAAUAAGCGGAGGAAAAGAAACCAACAGGGAUUGCCUCAGUAACGGCGAGUGAAGCGGCAACAGCUCAAAUUUGAAAUCUGGCUCCUUCGGGGCCCGAGUUGUAAUUUGCAGAGGAUGCGUCGGGUACGGGUGCCUUCCGAGUUCCCUGGAACGGGACGCCAUAGAGGGUGAGAGCCCCGUCUGGUAGGACACCCAGCCCGUGUGACGCUCCCUCGACGAGUCGAGUAGUUUGGGAAUGCUGCUCUAACGGGAGGUAUACUCCUU
RNAcentral lists this ribosomal RNA (779 nucleotides) under fungal sp. RNAcentral's name for it is "eukaryotic LSU rRNA". The stretch from base 472 to 779 matches the Rfam family "Eukaryotic large subunit ribosomal RNA", at positions 1 to 309 of the family's 3401-position model. The record is from RNAcentral. Lineage: Eukaryota; Fungi.